UCUGUGGUCACUCUGCUCAAGACAGCUCCUGAUCUCUGCCAGUCCUUCUGUGUUAGUGAACAGCAGGUCUAGUGGGGCACGAACCCUGGGGAGAGAAGUUGCAUAAACAACCCCUGCACCUGUAUCUCUUGUGGACGAUGGAUACUUUUGUCCAGAUAUGACAUUUCUUAUUACACACCAGGUAUGAAAAUCUUAUAGCUGCCAACGACACAGAAGUCUACUCUGUGGAAGAAGAUUCACAGGGAAGGGCAACAAAGCAGCCUGGAAAGAGGACCGUGAAUGCAGCAAGCAACCUACCCAGCAACACUGCCAUCAAAAUUAUUCACUCUUCAAGGAAUGGCAAACCAGCUCUCUGCUUUGCAACAGCAGAUUGAUGCUUUCUAACAAAAACACCUCUAUACACAUAAAUAUACACACAUAAGAUGGCUGAUAGAGAUACAAAUUUGUGAAAAUCACCUCAUAGCACUACAUAUGUUGUGAUAGCAAAUUCCAUUUACAUAAUAAAGUGUACUAGCAGUCAAGCCCAUACUGAGUGGGUGUAAGCAGGUAGCACGCCUCAGCCACGGCUCAGAAA
Numida meleagris (helmeted guineafowl) is the source of this 574-nucleotide long non-coding RNA. RefSeq lists it as uncharacterized. The transcript has 3 exons. The record is from RefSeq and is a predicted model, not a curated record. NCBI's taxonomy places the organism in Eukaryota, Metazoa, Chordata, Aves, Galliformes, Numididae.